This 1372-nucleotide ribosomal RNA is filed under the name uncultured bacterium. RNAcentral describes it as "bacterial SSU rRNA". It matches the Rfam family "Bacterial small subunit ribosomal RNA", at positions 28 to 1381 of the family's 1533-position model. The record is from RNAcentral.
GAUGAACGCUGGCGGCGUGCCUAAUACAUGCAAGUCGAGCGAACGGACGAGAAGCUUGCUUCUCUGAUGUUAGCGGCGGACGGGUGAGUAACACGUGGAUAACCUACCUAUAAGACUGGGAUAACUUCGGGAAACCGGAGCUAAUACCGGAUAAUAUUUUGAACCGCAUGGUUCAAAAGUGAAAGACGGUCUUGCUGUCACUUAUAGAUGGAUCCGCGCUGCAUUAGCUAGUUGGUAAGGUAACGGCUUACCAAGGCAACGAUGCAUAGCCGACCUGAGAGGGUGAUCGGCCACACUGGAACUGAGACACGGUCCAGACUCCUACGGGAGGCAGCAGUAGGGAAUCUUCCGCAAUGGGCGAAAGCCUGACGGAGCAACGCCGCGUGAGUGAUGAAGGUCUUCGGAUCGUAAAACUCUGUUAUUAGGGAAGAACAUAUGUGUAAGUAACUGUGCACAUCUUGACGGUACCUAAUCAGAAAGCCACGGCUAACUACGUGCCAGCAGCCGCGGUAAUACGUAGGUGGCAAGCGUUAUCCGGAAUUAUUGGGCGUAAAGCGCGCGUAGGCGGUUUUUUAAGUCUGAUGUGAAAGCCCACGGCUCAACCGUGGAGGGUCAUUGGAAACUGGAAAACUUGAGUGCAGAAGAGGAAAGUGGAAUUCCAUGUGUAGCGGUGAAAUGCGCAGAGAUAUGGAGGAACACCAGUGGCGAAGGCGACUUUCUGGUCUGUAACUGACGCUGAUGUGCGAAAGCGUGGGGAUCAAACAGGAUUAGAUACCCUGGUAGUCCACGCCGUAAACGAUGAGUGCUAAGUGUUAGGGGGUUUCCGCCCCUUAGUGCUGCAGCUAACGCAUUAAGCACUCCGCCUGGGGAGUACGACCGCAAGGUUGAAACUCAAAGGAAUUGACGGGGACCCGCACAAGCGGUGGAGCAUGUGGUUUAAUUCGAAGCAACGCGAAGAACCUUACCAAAUCUUGACAUCCUUUGACAACUCUAGAGAUAGAGCUUUCCCCUUCGGGGGACAAAGUGACAGGUGGUGCAUGGUUGUCGUCAGCUCGUGUCGUGAGAUGUUGGGUUAAGUCCCGCAACGAGCGCAACCCUUAAGCUUAGUUGUCAUCAUUAAGUUGGGCACUCUAAGUUGACUGCCGGUGACAAACCGGAGGAAGGUGGGGAUGACGUCAAAUCAUCAUGCCCCUUAUGAUUUGGGCUACACAUGUGCUACAAUGGACAAUACAAAGGGCAGCGAAACCGCGAGGUCAAGCAAAUCCCAUAAAGUUGUUCUCAGUUCGGAUUGUAGUCUGCAACUCGACUACAUGAAGCUGGAAUCGCUAGUAAUCGUAGAUCAGCAUGCUACGGUGAAUACGUUCCCGGGUCU